GCCUCUUUCCUUCUUCCUCUCGUCUUCUAUUUCGCCACACAAAAAAAAAAAAAUUUCUUUCCGUCACAGUUUCCAUCUCAUAUAAGCAGGAAUUUCUAGUGGCUCCUCAAAAGCGUCGUGAGAGUUGAAUUUUGGUUGUCGGUUGGAUUAAGACUCAGGAUUAGGUGGAAUUGAGGAAUUUUCAAAUUCUAAGAACGGAG
Molecule: long non-coding RNA, 200 nt
Organism: Asparagus officinalis (garden asparagus)
Lineage: Eukaryota; Viridiplantae; Streptophyta; Magnoliopsida; Asparagales; Asparagaceae
Exons: 3
Source: RefSeq, a predicted model, not a curated record